RNAcentral lists this ribosomal RNA (742 nucleotides) under uncultured Pedobacter sp. RNAcentral's name for it is "bacterial SSU rRNA". It matches the Rfam family "Bacterial small subunit ribosomal RNA", at positions 8 to 747 of the family's 1533-position model. Lineage: Bacteria; Pseudomonadati; Bacteroidota; Sphingobacteriia; Sphingobacteriales; Sphingobacteriaceae. The record is from RNAcentral.
AGAGUUUGAUCCUGGCUCAGGAUGAACGCUAGCGGCAGGCCUAAUACAUGCAAGUCGAACGGGAUUGGAGAGCUUGCUUUCCAUGAGAGUGGCGUACGGGUGCGUAACGCGUAUGCAACCUACCUUCAUCAGGGGGAUAGCCCGAAGAAAUUCGGAUUAACACCGCAUAAAAACACAACCUGGCAUCAGGAAAUGUUCAAAUAUUUAUAGGAUGAAGAUGGGCAUGCGUGUCAUUAGCUAGUUGGCGAGGUAACGGCUCACCAAGGCGACGAUGACUAGGGGAUCUGAGAGGAUGACCCCCCACACUGGUACUGAGACACGGACCAGACUCCUACGGGAGGCAGCAGUAAGGAAUAUUGGUCAAUGGAGGCAACUCUGAACCAGCCAUGCCGCGUGCAGGAAGACAGCCCUAUGGGUCGUAAACUGCUUUUAUACGGGAAUAAACCUUGAUUCGUGAAUCGAGCUGAAUGUACCGUAAGAAUAAGGAUCGGCUAACUCCGUGCCAGCAGCCGCGGUAAUACGGAGGAUCCAAGCGUUAUCCGGAUUUAUUGGGUUUAAAGGGAGCGUAGGCGGCUUGUUAAGUCAGGGGUGAAAGACGGUGGCUCAACCAUCGCAGUGCCUUUGAUACUGACGAGCUUGAAUAUAGUUGAGGUAGGCGGAAUGUGACAAGUAGCGGUGAAAUGCAUAGAUAUGUCACAGAACACCGAUUGCGAAGGCAGCUUACUAAGCUAUUAUUGACGCU